UAACCUAUAGAGAUUUGGUGAAAGACUCCAAUGUUGGCCAUAAAAUGUAUCAUUUAUUCAGAAGACAAAAUAUUUCAAUAGAGUAGUAAAAGUAAAGAAUAGAAAUAAUGUGAUUUUUUAUAAUAAUAUACAAAAACCAUUUAAAGUAAAUGAAAGAAUGAAGUGCAAGAAUAUUCCGGCUGAGUUCCAUCGUGAAAGAGUUGGCGUUGCAUCUAGUGCAGAUGCUCGAUUCACCCAUAACAAGAUCGAAGGUCAUCUCAUUUUACCGACAUUAAUGGUUUGGCGGUUGCAAUCCGUAAAUCGUUCCAAAACUGCAUUCUCUACACAAAUUGACGAAAUUAUACUGAUAAGAUGAAUGAACCACCGAAGAGCCUGAUUAUCAUUUGGAAAUUCCUAAUUAGCUUACGCAAUUUAUCAUGUUCAAUGAAUUAAACAUUUUUUAUCGUUUAUAAAGUUUAA
Molecule: unclassified non-coding RNA, 459 nt
Filed under: Nilaparvata lugens (brown planthopper)
Lineage: Eukaryota; Metazoa; Arthropoda; Insecta; Hemiptera; Delphacidae
Description: uncharacterized LOC111051939, transcript variant X5
Source: RNAcentral